This 436-nucleotide long non-coding RNA is filed under the name Homo sapiens (human). RNAcentral's name for it is "HSALNT0182241". Lineage: Eukaryota; Metazoa; Chordata; Mammalia; Primates; Hominidae. The record is from RNAcentral.
GCGUGAGCCACCGUGCCUGGCUGUGAGAAAUUAAUUUAAAUAAAGUAGAAAUUGGACACACCUGACUAAAAGGUUUGUGUCACAGAAACACAAACUUUGGCUUCCUGGAGGUGGAUGGGAUGCUUUGCAGCCAGCGUCCUGUGUGUCGGUGGGCAGGUUGUUUAACUUGGAUAGACCAUCUUUUUAAUUUAGAAAGUGAUGGUGCCCGGCUGGGGAAGUGGAUGGCACAACUGCCUGGAAAGCCGUUUCUUGACCCAUCUUGGGGUGUUUGGCCAUGGGCUGGACCUGCCAGUCAGCAUGGAGAGAAGGGAAGCAGAAAAGCCUGAGAACACUGCGUGAAGCCAGAAUGCCCCGCUCUUCCGGGGGAGCCCCAGUGGAGUAGACAGCACUGGCCCCAUGGGCUCGCCCCACCCGCUGCAUCUGUCUGUCCCCUCUC